GACGAACGCUGGCGGCGUGCCUAACACAUGCAAGUCGAGCGAUGAAGUUCCUUCGGGAACGGAUUAGCGGCGGACGGGUGAGUAACACGUGGGUAACCUGCCUUGUAGAGGGGGAUAGCCUUCCGAAAGGAAGAUUAAUACCGCAUAAUAUUGGAUCUUCGCAUGGAGGAUCAAUCAAAGGAGCAAUCCGCUACAAGAUGGACCCGCGGCGCAUUAGCUAGUUGGUAAGGUAAUGGCUUACCAAGGCGACGAUGCGUAGCCGACCUGAGAGGUGAUCGGCCACAUUGGGACUGAGACACGGGCCCAGACUCCUACGGGGAGGCAGCAGUGGGGAAUAUUGCACAAUGGGGGAAACCCUGAUGCAGCAACGCCGCGUGAGUGAUGACGGCCUUCGGGUUGUAAAGCUCUGUCUUUGGGGAAGAUAAUGACGGUACCCAAGGAGGAAGCCACGGCUAACU
RNAcentral lists this ribosomal RNA (458 nucleotides) under uncultured bacterium. RNAcentral's name for it is "bacterial SSU rRNA". It matches the Rfam family "Bacterial small subunit ribosomal RNA", at positions 28 to 502 of the family's 1533-position model. The record is from RNAcentral.